CCGGACCGCAUACAAGUCUGUUGGAAUACAGCGUCAUAGUGGUGAGAACCCCGUAACUGAUGCGGAUGCCCGGUGCUUUGUGAUACACUUUCGAAGAGUCGAGUUGUUUGGGAAUGCAGCUCAAAUUGGGUGGUAAAUUCCAUCUAAAGCUAAAUAUUGGCGAGAGACCGAUAGCGAACAAGUACCGUGAGGGAAAGAUGAAAAGCACUUUGGAAAGAGAGUUAACAGUACGUGAAAUUGUUGGAAGGGAAACGAUUGAAGUCAGACUUGUUAUCUGGAGUUCAGCCUUUCGGU
RNAcentral lists this ribosomal RNA (294 nucleotides) under Conticribra weissflogii. Its description in RNAcentral is "partial Eukaryotic large subunit ribosomal RNA". It matches the Rfam family "Eukaryotic large subunit ribosomal RNA", at positions 170 to 461 of the family's 3401-position model. The record is from RNAcentral. Lineage: Eukaryota; Bacillariophyta; Thalassiosirophyceae; Thalassiosirales; Thalassiosiraceae.